Anguilla rostrata (American eel) is the source of this 2052-nucleotide long non-coding RNA. RefSeq lists it as uncharacterized. The transcript is spliced from 3 exons. Lineage: Eukaryota; Metazoa; Chordata; Actinopteri; Anguilliformes; Anguillidae. The record is from RefSeq and is a predicted model, not a curated record.
GCUUGCCAUGGCGUCUGCAUGCUGACCCUGCCGCCCGUGCGGCCGGGGCACGGAGGGGCUCGGGCCAUGUGCACGACCAUCAUGGUCCUCUCCACCCUGGCCAUCAUCCUGCGCCGACGGUUCUCUAACCAAGUCAGACCACACACAGGAGAAGUCAGAGAGAAGGAGAUGGCCUACGUACAGACAAGCUCUGAGCCAGCGAAGAAAUGACUACCGCAUUGCCCCAAGACCCUGGGUCAAGUCCGCCUCUCUGGACCAGUACCCACACUGACCAUUAGGCGGCGAUGGAGACACACCUUCCUCUCCCACCCCUGGCUGCCUUCUUCGUGUUGCCCUCCACUGACAGCUCAGCGGCUUUGACUCUGCCGUGUUCAGUGACUGCGGAGCUCCUGAAAUACAGCAGAACGGGAUCCGGGACGGAUCAACCUAAAGCGGUGUUGAUGACAUCACUACACUUAGGAGACGCUAGCGACCUGACUGUUGCCCUGACCAGCUGGAUCUCACUUCCCAAAAUGCAACAUUGCCCCCUGUACACUCAAUCUCACAUACAUACUUUCUCCCUCUGCCUGUCUCUCGGGUUUUUUGCUUUUUGUUUUAACUCAUAUCUGUUAAUGUUAAUAUGUUCGUUAAAUGAUUUUGUGUUGAUACUGUCUCUGCCAGACGAAUUGUGCUGUGAAACCUGAAAUAUUGCUUAAAGCUUUACCUCUGCAGUACAUGUAGUUGCUUUUACCCAAUUUACAAUUCAAUCAUUCAGUAGAUGCUUUAAGCCAGAUUGACUUACAAAAGUGCAUUGUACGUGGUACAUUUUAUAAAAAUAGAAUUUCAAUUAAAUUCUUAAACUCAUAGCAGAUGACAUAUUUCUUAAGUCUUUUACAUUGAGUGUAUAUCAUUGUAUGGUUUCUGAAUGAGUAAAAUCGUAGUGACAUUUUAAUUUGAGUUAAAGAAUAACUCUGAAGGUGCAGUCUGCGCUCACACAGCUCCAGUAUGAAGGACAGUUAAAAUAAGUCAUUUUGAACAGCAUACCGCUAACACUGAUUAUGGAACAAUGGAAAUGUGAAAAUAUCAAUUAAACUAAGCCAUGCGUGUCUAAUUCAGUUUGAGAGAUCGUAUUGCGCAACUCGAUAAUGGGGCUUUCUAGUAAAAACGCUGAGAAACGCCCGCACGCGACACGAUCAUUUUCCUGGGAAUAAUGGAAUAGUGAAAGAAAAUAAAUUGCGUGGUAAUGGAGCAUACUGCUCAGCCCUCCGCAAGACCGAAUCUACUUUCCUGACGUAAAAUUGUGCGGCAGCUGACGCCCACAGUGUUCAUGGCCCAGCUAACACGAAGCAUUCCACGCGCCCUUUUGGCUCUGGAAUGCAGACUCCGCCUGACUCGAAGUGAUAAAGAUGCCGCAAAAAGAGUAGUCCUCGUAUACGGCCGUAUAUUUUUCGCCGCCCGAAUUUUGUGGGGACGGAAUCAAACCGCAAAGCUGCGUAUCUAAACAUGUCCGACUGUACAGCGGACCCUUUCUCUGACCUCCUGUUUUGUUUUGUUUUUUUUUUUUUCAUCUCGGAGAAAUCUCAUUCUCCUCUGUAAAACAAAUGAUUUUUUUUUUCAUGUGAGCUAUGAAGCAUUUUCUGUAUCCUGUUUUCUGUGCUAUUUCCCAUCUGUCCACGCUGAGAGCAAAUGUGGACGAGAGCCUACAGUGAACGCACCUCCCGCACAUCUGUAAUGUCUCCCACGCACAGGGCUACGGUGUGACUCCAGUGUGGCUCCUGAGUGCUAAUAUGACAUCUUUCUUGAAAUAUGCAACCUGGCAAGAGGUUGAAUCUUCUCAGCAAUCAAUGGUGCAGAAUGAGCUGAAAGCUUGGAUGUAAUGAGGUAUUUUUUGUUUUUGUUUUUGUGAGCAGUCAAACAAUUUAAAUUAACUUGGCCUUCGACCUGUCCCUGACAAAAAGCAGGCUGGUCACUACAACCUGGACUCUGUCAGCUGACCCCCCCUACAGCACAGCACAAUUGAGCUCUGUUCUUUGUUCCUCCUGUCCGAUUAAAUAAAUAAAUGAUUGAAUUGUU